ACGGGAGGCAGCAGUGGGGGAUAUUGCACAAUGGAGGAAACUCUGAUGCAGCAACGCCGCGUGAGGGAAGAAGGUCUUCGGAUUGUAAACCUCUGUUUUUGGUGAAGAAUAACUGACGGUAGCCAAAGAGGAAGCCACGGCUAACUACGUGCCAGCAGCCGCGGUAAUACGUAGGUGGCAAGCGUUGUCCGGAUUUACUGGGUGUAAAGGGUGCGCAGGCGGGACUGCAAGUUGGAUGUGAAAUACCGAGGCUCAACCUCGGAGCUGCAUCCAAAACUGUAGUUCUUGAGUGGAGUAGAGGUAAGCGGAAUUCCGAGUGUAGCGGUGAAAUGCGUAGAUAUUCGGAGGAACACCAGUGGCGAAGGCGGCUUACUGGGCUCUAACUGACGCUGAGGCACGAAAGUGUGGGUAGCAAACAGGAUUAGAUACCCUGGUA
This 436-nucleotide ribosomal RNA is filed under the name uncultured Ethanoligenens sp. RNAcentral's name for it is "partial 16S ribosomal RNA". It matches the Rfam family "Bacterial small subunit ribosomal RNA", at positions 341 to 792 of the family's 1533-position model. The record is from RNAcentral. Lineage: Bacteria; Bacillati; Bacillota; Clostridia; Eubacteriales; Oscillospiraceae.